Mirounga angustirostris (Northern elephant seal) is the source of this 2634-nucleotide RNA transcript. It is a transcript of the gene named F-box protein 4, with no coding region annotated. Lineage: Eukaryota; Metazoa; Chordata; Mammalia; Carnivora; Phocidae. The transcript has 8 exons. The record is from RefSeq and is a predicted model, not a curated record.
CCACCUCUCCGCUCCCUUCCCGGUCCCGAGGCUGUGCGCGGGGAGACGUGGAAGGAGAGAGGCGCGGGGCGGGAGGCGCAGAGCGGGGAGCGCGCGUGACGCUGCGGCGCGUCACGUGAGGCGCCGGCGGCCAUGGCGGGAAGCGAGCCCCUCAGCCGAGGCAGCUCCCCUCAGGCGCACCACAGCGACUGGAGCCGGCUAGAGGCCGCCAUCCUCAGCGGCUGGAGGAACUUCUGGCAGUCGGUGGGCAAAGAGAGGGCAGCGCCGAGGGCCUCUCAAGAGGAGGCGGAGGAGGAGGCUAGUACCCUGACGCGGCUGCCGAUUGACGUACAGCUAUAUAUUUUGUCAUUUCUUUCACCUCAUGAUCUGUGUCAGUUGGGAAGUACAAGCCAUUAUUGGAAUGAAACUGUACGAGAUCCAAUUUUGUGGAGAUAUUUUCUGCUGCGGGAUCUUCCUUCUUGGUCUUCUGUUGACUGGAAGUCUCUUCCAGAUCUAGAAAUCUUAAAAAAACCUAUAUCUGAGGUUACUGAUGGUGCAUUUUUUGACUACAUGGCAGUCUAUAAAAUGUGCUGUCCAUAUACAAGAAGAUCCUUGAAAUCUAGCCGUCCUAUGUAUGGAGCUGUCACAUCAUUUUUACACUCAUUGAUCAUUCAGAAUGAACCACGAUUUGCUAUGUUUGGACCAGGUUUGGAAGAACUGAAUACAUCUUUGGUGUUGAGCUUGAUGUCUUCUGAGGAACUUUGCCCAACAGCUGGUUUGCCUCAGAGGCAGAUUGAUGGUAUUGGAUCUGGAGUCAGUUUUCAGUUGAGCAACCAACAUAAAUUCAACAUCCUGAUAUUAUAUUCAACUACCAGAAAGGAAAGAGAUAGAGCAAGAGAAGAGCAUACAAGUGCAGUUAACAAGAUGUUCAGUGUACAGAAUGAAGGAGAUGAUCAACAAGGAAGCCGGUAUAGUGUAAUUCCACAAAUUCAGAAGGUGUGUGAAGUUGUUGAUGGAUUCAUCUAUGUUGCAAAUGCUGAAGCUCAUAAAAGACAUGAAUGGCAAGAUGAAUUUUCUCAUAUUAUGGCAAUGACAGAUCCAGCUUUUGGAUCUUCAGGAAGACCUAUGCUGGUUUUAUCUUGUAUUUCUCAAGCAAAUGUAAAAAGAAUGCCCUGUUUUUAUUUGGCUCAUGAGCUGCGUCUAAAUCAUCUAAACCACCCAUGGAUGGUCCAGGAUACAGAGGCUGAAACUCUAACUGGUUUUUUGAAUGGCAUUCAGUGGAUUCUUGAAGAAGUAGAAUCUAAGCAUGCAAGAUGAUCCUCCUUUUAGAUCUGGGGAACUGAAACCACUUUAAACUUGUUACUAAGGUCAUGAUGUGGAUAUUUGCUCAGUCAGCCAAUUUUGUCCUGCCUUUUUGCAGUUUCUUAUUAAUAAUCCCUUGGGAAAAUUGGGCAGCUAUAUACAGAAGAAUGAAACUUGACCUCUCUCUAACACCAUACACAAAGAUAAACUCAAAAUGGAUGAAAGACAUCAACGUGAGACAGGAAUCCAUCAAAAUCCUAGAGGAGAACAUAGGCAGUAACCUCUUUGACAUCAGCCGUGGCAACUUCUUUCAAGAUACCUCUCCAAAGGCAAGUGAAACAAAAGCAAAAAUGAACUUUUGGGACUUCAUCAAGAUAAAAAGCUUCUGCACAGCAAGGGAAACAGUCAACAAAACAAAGAGGCAACCCACAGAAUGGAAAAAGAUAUUUGCAAAUGGGACUACGGACAAAGGGCUGAUAUCCAAGCUCUAUAAAGAACUUCUCAAACUCAACACCCAAAAAACAAAUAAGUCAAAAAAUGGGCAGAAGACAUGAACAGACACUUUUCAAAAGAAGACAUAAAAAUGGCUAACAGAUACUUAAAAAAAUGUUAGCCAUUUUUUGUCAUUAUCAUUAGCCAUCAGGGAAAUUCACCAAAUCAAAACCACACUGAGAUACCACCUUACACCAGUUAUAAUGGCAAAAAUUGACAAGGCAAGAAAAAUUUGUUGGAAAGGUUGUGGAGAAAGAGGAACCUUCUUACACUGUUGGUGGGAAUGCAAGUUGGUACAGCCACUUUGGAGAACAGUGUGGAGGUUCCUCAAAAAAUUGAAAAUAGAGCUACCCUAUGACCCAGCAAUUGCACAGAUGUAGUGAAAAGAAGGGACAUACGCACCCCAAUGUUCAUGGCAGCAAUGUCCACAAUAGCCAAACUGUGGAAAGAGCCGAGAUGCCCUUCAACAGACACAGAUGUAGUGAAAGGAAGGGCCCCAAAGACACAAGAUGUGAACUGGGGUAUUUACCUCAAAGACACAGAUGUAGUGAAAAGAAGGGCCAUAUGCACCCAAUGUUCAUAGCAGCAAUGUCUGCAAUAGCAAAACUGUGGAAAGAACCGAGAUGCCCUUCAACAGAUGAAUGGGUAAAGAUGAUGUGGUCCAUACAUACAAUGGAAUAUUACUCAGCCAUCAGAAAGGAUGAAUAUCCAACUUUUACAUCAACAUGGAUGGGACUGGAGGAGAUUAUGCUAAGUGAAAUAAGUCAAGCAGAGAAAGUCAAUUAUCAUACGGUUUCACUUAUUUGUGGAACAUAAGGAAUAGCAUGGAGGAUUUUAGGAGAAGGAAGGGAAAAUGAAGGG